AACGCACAUUGCGCUUCCUGGUAUUCCGGGGAGCAUGCCCGUUUCAGAAUCAUUGAAAAUCUCACAACCUCCAAGAAUUGCCUAGUGCAGAACUUGGACAAGUGGAUUUUGGAUGUUUUGCGCUCUAGCAAUCGUCUAGAAAUGAUUGUAUGUACUCCAGUUGCUUUGUCAAUUGGAUAUCCUAAAGUGCAACAGAUUUAUCUAUUCUCUUUAGGCUUCAAUUGAUGAGUAUGGUAGUGUGUACUCAAAUAAUUAACAGUUGUCUUGUUUCGGCAUGGCAUCUGAUAACUUGGUCUGAAAUCGGGCAAGAAAACCCGCUGAACUUAA
This 327-nucleotide unclassified non-coding RNA is filed under the name uncultured Spizellomycetaceae. RNAcentral's name for it is "sequence contains ITS2". The record is from RNAcentral. Lineage: Eukaryota; Fungi; Chytridiomycota; Chytridiomycetes; Spizellomycetales; Spizellomycetaceae.